This 157-nucleotide ribosomal RNA is filed under the name Aspergillus foetidus. Its description in RNAcentral is "5.8S ribosomal RNA". It matches the Rfam family "5.8S ribosomal RNA". Rfam says of the family: 5.8S ribosomal RNA (5.8S rRNA) is a component of the large subunit of the eukaryotic ribosome. It is transcribed by RNA polymerase I as part of the 45S precursor that also contains 18S and 28S rRNA. Functionally, it is thought that 5.8S rRNA may be involved in ribosome translocation. The record is from RNAcentral. Lineage: Eukaryota; Fungi; Ascomycota; Eurotiomycetes; Eurotiales; Aspergillaceae.
AAACUUUCAACAAUGGAUCUCUUGGUUCCGGCAUCGAUGAAGAACGCCGCGAAAUGCGAUAACUAAUGUGAAUUGCAGAAUUCAGUGAAUCAUCGAGUCUUUGAACGCACAUUGCGCCCCCUGGUAUUCCGGGGGGCAUGCCUGUCCGAGCGUCAUU